Molecule: ribosomal RNA, 492 nt
Filed under: uncultured bacterium
Lineage: Bacteria
Description: partial 16S ribosomal RNA
Rfam family: Bacterial small subunit ribosomal RNA
Source: RNAcentral
AGUGAACGCUGGCGGUAGGCCUAACACAUGCAAGUCGAACGGCAGCACAGUAAGAGCUUGCUCUUACGGGUGGCGAGUGGCGGACGGGUGAGGAAUACAUCGGAAUCUACUUUUUCGUGGGGGAUAACGUAGGGAAACUUACGCUAAUACCGCAUACGACCUACGGGUGAAAGCAGGGGAUCUUCGGACCUUGCGCGAUUGAAUGAGCCGAUGUCGGAUUAGCUAGUUGGCGGGUUAAAGGCCCACCAAGGCGACGAUCCGUAGCUGGUCUGAGAGGAUGAUGAGCAACAUGGGAACGGAGACACGGUCAAGACUCCUACGGGAGGAAGAAGUGGGGAAUAUUGGACAAUGGGCGAAAGCCUGAUCCAGACAGACCGCGUGGGUGAAGAAGGCCUUCGGGUUGUAAAGCCCUUUUGUUGGGAAAGAAAAGCAGCAGGUUAAUAACCCGCUGUUGUGACGGUACCCAAAGAAUAAGCACCGGCUAACUUCGUG